This 305-nucleotide unclassified non-coding RNA is filed under the name plant metagenome. Its description in RNAcentral is "partial contains 5.8S ribosomal RNA, internal transcribed spacer 2, and large subunit ribosomal RNA". The stretch from base 1 to 105 matches the Rfam family "5.8S ribosomal RNA", at positions 50 to 154 of the family's 154-position model. The record is from RNAcentral.
GAAAUGCGAUAAGUAAUGUGAAUUGCAGAAUUCAGUGAAUCAUCGAAUCUUUGAACGCACAUUGCGCCCCCUGGUAUUCCGGGGGGCAUGCCUGUUCGAGCGUCAUCUAAACCUUCAAGCCCCGCUUGGUGUUGGGUGCCUGUCCCGCCUCCGCGCGCGGACUCACCUCAAAUCCAUUGGCGGCCCCCGCGUCGGCCACGAGCGCAGCAGAAACGCGAACUCGUGAGCCCGUCCGGGCGGCUCCCAGAAGCUACACCCACCCAGUUUGACCUCGGAUCAGGUAGGGAUACCCGCUGAACUUAAGC